UACGGGGGGGGCAAGCGUUGUUCGGAAUUACUGGGCGUAAAGGGUUCGUAGGCGGCCAACUAAGUCAGACGUGAAAUCCCCAGGCUUAACCUGGGAACUGCGUCUGAUACUGGAUGGCUUGAAUUCGGGAGAGGGAUGCAGAAUUCCAGGUGUAGCGGUGAAAUGCGUAGAUAUCUGGAGGAAUACCGGUGGCGAAGGCGGCAUCCUGGACCGACAUUGACGCUGAGGAGCGAAAGCUAGGGGAGCAAACGGG
RNAcentral lists this ribosomal RNA (253 nucleotides) under uncultured bacterium. RNAcentral's name for it is "partial 16S ribosomal RNA". It matches the Rfam family "Bacterial small subunit ribosomal RNA", at positions 524 to 776 of the family's 1533-position model. The record is from RNAcentral.